RNAcentral lists this ribosomal RNA (377 nucleotides) under uncultured eukaryote. Its description in RNAcentral is "partial 18S ribosomal RNA". It matches the Rfam family "Eukaryotic small subunit ribosomal RNA", at positions 592 to 975 of the family's 1831-position model. The record is from RNAcentral.
CAAUAGCGUAUAUUUAAGUUGUUGCAGUUAAAAAGCUCGUAGUUGGAUUUCGGGUGGGACGCAGCGGUCUCGCAUUGCGUUUGUACUGCUGCAGUCCUCCUUCUUGCCGGGGGCGGCCUCUCGGACUUCACUGUCUGGGGGUCAGAAUCGGCGAUGUUACUUUGAGUAAAUUAGAGUGUUCAAAGCAAGCUUACGCUCUGAAUAUAAUAGCAUGGGAUAACACGACAGGACUCUGGCCUAUCGUGUUGGUCUAUAGGACCAGAGUAAUGAUUAAGAGGGACAGUCGGGGGCAUUCGUAUUCCGUUGUCAGAGGUGAAAUUCUUGGAUUUACGGAAGACGAACAUCUGCGAAAGCAUUUGCCAAGGAUGUUUNCAUUG